Long non-coding RNA from Triticum aestivum (bread wheat), 2894 nucleotides. RefSeq lists it as uncharacterized. Lineage: Eukaryota; Viridiplantae; Streptophyta; Magnoliopsida; Poales; Poaceae. The record is from RefSeq and is a predicted model, not a curated record. The transcript is spliced from 3 exons.
UGCGGUCAGAUGGGCUUUCUGGUCCGUGGAUCAGAUCUUUAGCAAUACAGCUGAGCCAGGAGGACACAGAGAGGCAGAGAGGCGACGACACAGAGUCCACCCCCUCCUGGCUCUCCCCUAAUUCGAAUGCAAGGGCAUGCGGCGGCUUCUCGAAGCCCCGUCGAAUCCCUGAUGGAAGAUGCUGGCCUUGAGUUCUGGCUGGAUGCCGUGGACCAGUCCCCCCUCUGGGAGGAGUUCGCUGACAGUCUUGAAAAUCCAGAUCCGUCCCUCUGGCAUUAUUAACGCUAGACAAAGACAACCAUGCCGUGCCGGCGGACUCGAAUGCUGCCUCUGGAUGUGGGCAGCAAGUUGGUGGCGCCGUGCCGGAGAGGCCGACCUACGGCGUCGGGAGGCAUGUCCACGAAGUCAGCUGACAGAGUCAACCCUGAGCCGCAUGGUUGGAUGAAAAGGUAUUUCGGGUAAUUCCAUUGCUUGUGUAAUAACUGUAUAUCUCCAAAAAUGAGUGCAUGUUGAUCUCCUCAGGCAUGACUAGUUCAAUUUUGGGCGACUGCAACCUGACGAUAUGAUUUGGUUAACUGACCCUGAUACUUGGUACUGAUGAUUAAUUGUUAAAUGUGCUUAGACGUCAAAUAUGUCAGUAAUUGUCUACUGCAGCUGAAAAUUGUGUAAAGGAAUGGUUUGCUUAAAAAAGUCUGGUUACAUCUCAGUAGUGUACUACCAGACCGGACGCCAUGUCCUUCUAGGAUAAGUACACUAGAUCGAGCUUACCAAAAAUGUAAUUAGACCGUAACUCAGGCCAAGUUUUUAUUCACUAGGCGGGGCAUAUGACUUCUACAACUUGUAUUCCUGGGAGAUCAGAAUCGGAAUUCGGUAUGGCAACAGCUUUCCUUUAGAUGUUUCCAUCGGCGGUUGAAUCAUUGCAAGUGUGACGACGGGGUAACUGACAGCGGUGUCGCUGGAGCAAGAGUAGAGGUUCAGUUCCCGGACACUUCGAACUUGGGGUUGCAGCAAGUGCUUGGAGCACGAAUUUGAUGCUGGAGCAAGAAGGCCAUGGCGUGGACGAGGUGAGCGGAAGUGUUACCACUGUUGUGUUGUCUGUUGAUCUCCGGACGAUUUGUUUGAAAACCAAAACCGGCUGCAUUUCCAUGGAGAGGUGAUUCAGCGGGGGGCCUCAUUCGGAUAAGAUCUGCAAGCAGGAGUUGGACAACAAGAGCGGAGAUGGUUCACUUGAAGGAUUCGGCGAGCAUGACCCAGCCGGUGGCGCGCUGGCCGACUUCCAUGGUGUUGACACUGAUAUGGACAAUGGAUCUCGCGUGAUCUGUGGUGCCGAAGAGGUUGAUUCCAGUGGAGAAGAGGUGAGCAGCAGGUAAGCGAAACGACGGCGUACACAGGCUUGUUUUGCGACGUGAGCGUAUCACCAGAGGAAAGAACUGUGUUUCCACUGCUCCCCUUGUCCAAGAUGGGCACACCAUCUUCAACAGAUUGUUGUAUUGUGCGUGCGGUGUGUUUUAGAUUGCAGAUAAAAAGAAAACCUGAUAGUGUGUUUAUAUGAUGACUAACUCUAGUUUGUCCCACUGGCGGAGUACGCGUACAGUUGCAUCUUUUUGACGGUACAUUAUUAUUUUUUCCUUAGCUCUACCCCAAAUUGUUUUUUUAUUUAGCAUUGUGAUCGGCAGUAAAAAAUAAAUGUUGCAGCGUGUGAUUAAUUUUAUGCGUAGGUGGUGCUUAGAUAGUGAGCAGAGGUAAAAUAGGGGAAAAAAGACUGCCUGUUAUUUGGUUUUGGAUUUAAAAAUUCUACUCGGCCCUGAUUAAAAAAGGUUACGGCAUUUGACGAAACUUUGGUGUGCAGCUAAAAAAACAAAGACUGUCGUGGUGGUUUGUUUUCGAUUUAAAAAUUCUGGUCACUCGUUAAUAUAUGUUGCCGCAUUUGAUUAACUUGCGAGUGGAUAGUGCUUAGAUAAGCAGCAGCGGUGUGUUAGGGGAAAAAGGAUUGCCCUGAGGGCCUGCGGCGUGGUACGGAGACGGCUCAGCGGCUCAGCCUAGCACAGAAAAAAGCUUGAGCCGUGACCCCAACUGUUCGGCCUCUAUCUUAACAGCUUUCAUUGCACUUAAUGCUUCCAUCACUGUAUUUAUUUACUUACCAUACAUCUGCUAUACAGAGAGGAAUACAUCACCCAGCACACAUCCACAUGCUAGCGGACGAUGAAGAUUUCAGGAGCAGCUUAGCCUGAGCUCAGAAACGAAUAUCCCAUGCUAAUUCCACACUUGUGCUUUAAAGUAGCACCAUAUUUUUUCAUAUAAAGAGUCUCUUAUAAUGUCAUUUUCAUAUACUAGUGAAAAUUUUUCAUUAUAGAGUUUGAUGCACACCCACUCAGUUUUCAUAUUGAGCUUUCAUACACUUAUAGCUCUUAGUGCAUUCAUUGCAUGAUAAUCCCUACUCACAUUAAUAUCAAUUAAUGGGCAUCUCCAUAGCCCGUUGGUUAGCCGCGCUGAUGUGAGACUUUCUUACUUUUUUGUCUUCUCUAUAUUUACCCCUAUCAUCGUACUCUAUUCCACCUAUAGUGCUAUAUCCAUGACUUUCGCUCAUUUAUUGCGUGCAGGUUGAAAAAGCUGAAGCGCGUUAAAAAGUAUGAACCAAUUGCUCGACUUGUCAUCGGGGUUGUGCAUGAUAAAUACUUUGUAUUAAGAAGACAGAGCAUGACAAGACUAUGAUUUUGUAGGGAUAACUUUCUUUACCGUUGAUAUUUUGAAAGACACGACUAUUUGUUGGGAUGACUGAGUAUUGAUGUCUUUAUGUCAAAUUAUAGACUGUUGCAUUGAAUUACUCGUGUCUUGACAUUCAUGCCAUGAUUUGAUAUAUGAAGACUAUGUUAGGUAGCAUUCCACAUCAAAAA